Molecule: long non-coding RNA, 1397 nt
Organism: Neofelis nebulosa (Clouded leopard)
Lineage: Eukaryota; Metazoa; Chordata; Mammalia; Carnivora; Felidae
Exons: 4
Source: RefSeq, a predicted model, not a curated record
UUCUUUUCUAGCUAUUAAUUCUUUGGGGAUCGGGGAAACUAGAAGACAUGGAAAAUACAGUGGGAGGGCAAUAUAAAGGUCAAGAUUGGCCAAGAUUCUGUGUUGAUAAAUAUUUAUUUCCACAUCUGUUUUCUAUGUGUUCCCUUUCUCUUUUCCUUCUCCCUUCUAACCCAACACACAGACAAAAGGAAGUGGAGGCUUAAACAAUUAACUGGUGACUGCAGGACUGGUUGUUUAAGAAUCUGGAUAACUGAGUUCUAAUUUCUCCAUUCCUUCUACAAUUUGGUAAAUUAAAAAACAUUUUUGUGAUGCAGUCUCAUUUAUGGCAGUUAAGGACCAUAGUCAAAGGCUGGAAUUAAUUUCUAAUUAGUCUGAAGGAACAAUAUGUUACCUGGAUCAGAAAGAGAAUGCCAAAGUUGGAGAAUGAGUCACUUCUGCUGCCGUCAGAGCUGUUCCAGGAGCCUACGAAACUGAAGUCCAUGUUUCAGGCACUCACUACCUUUGAUGCAUUUGAUGAGGAGCCUCAAACAGUGGAUUCCUCCUGGUUUGGCAGCCAAGAAAAGAUUUAUUUCGGUGUUUACACCUGCUGGAAAAUUGGGAAUUCCAGACAUCUCACAGUGUCCAGACCAGUUUUCUUUACAAAUCUGGGAUGCAGCACCCUCUUUUGAAAAACAGAGAUCAGUUCUUAGACUUUGUACAUUUAUACUAGUUUUACUUCAUUGGUACCAGGGUGACUUGAAUUCUUGAAAAGGAUGCAGUUUCCUAGAAACUUUUAGAAGAAAAGCAUUAAAAUAAAAGUUGACCAUUGAAUGGCUGGGAUUUUCUGCAUCAAUGGAUCUGGUGCACUUAAUGGGCAUUGAACUGUUCCAACUGAACCAUAUUCUUUCAUUUCAAAUAAGUUGAUUUUUUAAACAGUAAAUUGUGAGAAUGAGAAAUUUUGAAGGGGCAGUGGCAAAAUUGUAGGUGAGAUGUGCUUAUUUAUCGUAACUUAUUAUGUUUAAUCAAAAUUACAUUAGUACCCAACUUUCUUAGGAUUAAAGACCAAGUAAUAUAAUGAAAUAAGAAUUAGGAAAUCAGGACCCUGAUCACUAUUUGAAUUUCUACCAUUUUAUUACAUCAGAUAUAUCACAAACUUUAUCUAAUGUUUGGUGAAUGUGGUCCAUGAUCCCUAGUAACUGUGUUUUAAUAAUAAUGAUUUAAUAGUAACACUUACCAUUUAUUGAAGAUAAACUAUAUGCUUAAUUACAAUCUUAACUCAUUAAUGACUUUCUAAAUAGCCUUUCCCCUAUAAACCGAUUAUAAUAAUGGUCACUUGUUAUAGCCCAUAUGUCUAUAGUCCUUUAUAUUUACAAGGCAUAUUCUAUAUAUUUUUUCAUUAACCUAUUCAGUUCUUUAUU